Long non-coding RNA from Schistocerca serialis cubense, 1198 nucleotides. RefSeq lists it as uncharacterized. The transcript is spliced from 4 exons. The record is from RefSeq and is a predicted model, not a curated record. NCBI's taxonomy places the organism in Eukaryota, Metazoa, Arthropoda, Insecta, Orthoptera, Acrididae.
UCUAGUUGAGUGCAGUACUCUGUCAGUAGUCGUUGCGAGUCUGUAGCUCUGUCUAGUUGAGAGCAGUACUCUGUCAGUAGUCGUCGCGAGCAGUAGCUCUGUUCAGUGGCGUGCAGUACGCUAGUAGUCGUCAUGCAGAGCAGUCGGUCAGUGGUAGCAGCCCAGUGGGGUUGCGUGAUGUGGUCUGGCGACAACACUGGUCAAGAUGCUGAAUGAGGUGUUAUCACUCCACCAUUCACUAUAGCUCCAUUGCCACCACCGCUGCUGCCAUCACUGCCAUCCCUGUCACCAUUGCCAGAAAUGCAUCUGCCAUCAGCGCCAUCAGGCCCUACUGCUGCUCCAUUGCCAUUGCCAUCAUCAUUACAUCUGGAUCCAGAAGCAGAAGCACCAGCCAGACCUACUCCAGCAACAACCAGACAAGUACCACCAGCAUAUGCUGCAGCUAUGACAUCAGCCAUAUCUGCAGCAGCUUCAACCACAGCAGCUCAAGUUCCUGACUUCAAAUAUCUGUGCCAUUGAAAGCAGGUGCAACCUUCUCACUGAAUUCCAAAGAAGAGGAUGGUUGACCUUAUUACUCUACAAUUAAUGACAGAAGACUAAUAGUGCUCAUAACAGUAAGACCAAACAAUAUGAAAAUUGUGAAGAAAAAUGUUUGGAACAUGAAAACAUGCUUAUGUUUUGUAAAUGAAGUUAUAGUGAGGCCACCAGCAUGUGACCAGAUGAGAGGAAAUGCAGAUGCCAACAGAAAUCAUGAAGAACUGUAAUUAAUCACUUAUUUACAUAAAAAGGAGAUGUGAACUCUUUUAUAAUCUACAGAUAACACAUAGCAAAACAAAACUGUAUCAUUCUAGAUGCCAAUGCAGAUGCCUUAAAGUAAAAAGGUGAAAUGCUUCUGGCAGAAACAAAAUACAGUGCAGCAAGAAAAGGCAAUUUUUAUUUACAAAACAAAUAUGUAUUAAUCUUCCCUUCACUAACUUCUUUAUGCUUGAUUGUUGCACCAUUUGAGAUACUAGAUGGUUGAUGAAUGACCAAAAUUGUUAUACAAGAAAGUGCUGCUCGUAAUGGGACAUCCUCCUCUAGCCUUACUCUUUCUUAACAGUAGUUGUCGAUACCAGUAUUAUUUUUCGAAUUUUGGAUAGUUCAUUGGUAUCUCAGUUGCUUUUCUGAAAACUAUCAUAUAAUUUUAUACACAGUUUGU